RNAcentral lists this transfer RNA (64 nucleotides) under Asioditomyia japonica. RNAcentral describes it as "tRNA-Leu". It matches the Rfam family "tRNA". Rfam says of the family: Transfer RNA (tRNA) molecules are approximately 80 nucleotides in length. Lineage: Eukaryota; Metazoa; Arthropoda; Insecta; Diptera; Ditomyiidae. The record is from RNAcentral.
UCUAAUAUGGCAGAUUAGUGCAAUAGAUUUAAACCCUAUAUAUAAAAGAUAAUUUUUAUUAGAA